RNAcentral lists this ribosomal RNA (711 nucleotides) under Acinetobacter baumannii. RNAcentral describes it as "partial 23S ribosomal RNA". It matches the Rfam family "Bacterial large subunit ribosomal RNA", at positions 1273 to 1980 of the family's 2925-position model. The record is from RNAcentral. Lineage: Bacteria; Pseudomonadati; Pseudomonadota; Gammaproteobacteria; Moraxellales; Moraxellaceae.
GUGGAGCGCUUAGAAGUGAGAAUGCCGGUAUGAGUAGCGAAAGAGGGGUGAGAAUCCCCUCCACCGAAUGCCUAAGGUUUCCUGAGGAAGGCUCGUCCGCUCAGGGUUAGUCGGGACCUAAGCCGAGGCCGAAAGGCGUAGGCGAUGGACAACAGGUUGAUAUUCCUGUACCACCUCCUCACCAUUUGAGCAAUGGGGGGACGCAGGAGGAUAGGGUAAGCGCGGUAUUGGAUAUCCGCGUCCAAGCAGUUAGGCUGGGAAAUAGGCAAAUCCGUUUCCCAUAAGGCUGAGCUGUGAUGGCGAGCGAAAUAUAGUAGCGAAGUUCCUGAUUCCACACUGCCAAGAAAAGCCUCUAGCGAGGUGAGAGGUGCCCGUACCGCAAACCGACACAGGUAGGCGAGGAGAGAAUCCUAAGGUGAUCGAGAGAACUCUCGUUAAGGAACUCGGCAAAAUGACCCCGUAACUUCGGGAGAAGGGGUGCUCUGUUAGGGUGCAAGCCCGAGAGAGCCGCAGUGAAUAGGCCCAGGCGACUGUUUAGCAAAAACACAGGUCUCUGCGAAGCCGUAAGGCGAAGUAUAGGGGCUGACGCCUGCCCGGUGCUGGAAGGUUAAGAGGAGCGCUUAGCGUAAGCGAAGGUGCGAAUUGAAGCCCCAGUAAACGGCGGCCGUAACUAUAACGGUCCUAAGGUAGCGAAAUUCCUUGUCGGGUAAG